Molecule: ribosomal RNA, 862 nt
Filed under: Ophiocordyceps unilateralis
Lineage: Eukaryota; Fungi; Ascomycota; Sordariomycetes; Hypocreales; Ophiocordycipitaceae
Description: LSU rRNA
Rfam family: Eukaryotic large subunit ribosomal RNA
Source: RNAcentral
GGAUUGCCCCAGUAACGGCGAGUGAAGCGGCAACAGCUCAGAUUUGAAAUCCGGCGCCCCCCCGGGGACGCCCGAGUUGUAAUCUGCAGAGGACGCUCCUGGCGCGGCGCCGUCCGAGUUCCCUGGAACGGGACGCCGCAGAGGGUGAGAGCCCCGUACGGUCGGACGCCCAGCCUGUGUGGAGCCCCUUCGGCGAGUCGAGUAGUUUGGGAAUGCUGCUCAAAACGGGAGGUAUACGCCUUCUAAAGCUAAAUACCGGCCAGAGACCGAUAGCGCACAAGUAGAGUGAUCGAAAGAUGAAAAGCACUUUGAAAAGAGGGUUAAACAGUACGUGAAAUUGUUGAAAGGGAAGCGCUCGCGGCCAGACUCGGGCCCGGGGGAUCAUCCGGCGCUCGCGCCGGUGCACUCCGCCGGGCCCCGGGCCAGCAUCGGCCCGCGGCGGGGGACAAAGGCGCCGGGAACGUGGCUCCCCAGGGAGUGUUAUAGCCCGGCGCGCAACGCCCCGCGGCGGGCCGAGGUUCGCGCGUCCGCAAGGAUGCUGGCGUAAUGGCCACCAGCGACCCGUCUUGAAACACGGACCAAGGAGUCGUCCUCGCAUGCGAGUGUUCGGGCGUCAAACCCGUGCGCGCAAUGAAAGUGAACGCGGGUGGGAGCCCCCCCCCCGGGGGCGCACCGCCGACCGAUCCUGAAGUUCACGGAUGGAUUUGAGUAGGAGCAUGCGGGGCCGGACCCGAAAGAAGGUGAACUAUGCCUGUGUAGGGUGAAGCCAGAGGAAACUCUGGUGGAGGCUCGCAGCGGUUCUGACGUGCAAAUCGAUCGUCAAACAUGGGCAUGGGGGCGAAAGACUAAUCGAACCUUCUAG